Molecule: long non-coding RNA, 254 nt
Filed under: Erythranthe guttata (spotted monkey flower)
Lineage: Eukaryota; Viridiplantae; Streptophyta; Magnoliopsida; Lamiales; Phrymaceae
Description: long non-coding RNA (EGUT_LNC001210)
Source: RNAcentral
UCAUUGUUCAUAAUACAUGUUGAGCAAACCAACAAAAAAUACCACAAUAUAAUAAUAAAAAAAGAAAAUUAAAAUCCUCAGAUUGAAUUCAAUAAUAAAGACCCGAGUUCGGACAGAGAUGUAAGAAAACAUUACUUUCAAAGUGCAACAUUCACUGUUCGUUCAAUCAUGAAAUAAGCAAAAAUUUACACAGGACUAUCAACAUUAAAUUAAAACAAAAAAAUGGACAAUUAAAUUAAAACAAGAGAUGAAAC